RNA transcript from Rhinopithecus roxellana (golden snub-nosed monkey), 1115 nucleotides. It is a transcript of the gene named 60S ribosomal protein L13a pseudogene, with no coding region annotated. The record is from RefSeq and is a predicted model, not a curated record. Lineage: Eukaryota; Metazoa; Chordata; Mammalia; Primates; Cercopithecidae. The transcript has a single exon.
UUUCCCAGGCGGCUGCCAAAGAUGGCGGAGGUGCAGGUCCUGGUGCUCCACGGUCGAGGCCAUCUCCUGGGCCGCCUGGCGGCCAUCGUGGUUAAACAGGUACUGCUGGGCCGGAAGGUGGUGGUUGUACACUGCGAAGGCAUCAACAUUUCUGGCAAUUUCUACAGAAACAAGUUGAAGUACCUGGCUUUCCUCCGCAAGCGGAUGAACACCAACCCUUCCCGAAGCCCCUACCACUUCCGGGCCCCCAGCCGCAUCUUCUGGCGGACCGUGCGAGGCACGCUGGCUCACAAGACCAAGCGAGGCCAGGUUGCCCCGGACCGCCUCAAGGUGUUUGACGGGAUCCCACCGCCCUACGACAAGAAAAAGUGGAUGGUGGUUCCUGCUGCCCUCAAGGUCGUGCGUCUGAAGCCUACAAGAAAGUUUGCCUAUUUGGGGCGCCUGGCUCACGAGGUUGGCUGGAAGUACCAGGCAGUGACAGCCACCCUGGAGGAGAAGAGGAAAGAGAAAGCCAAGAUCCACUACCGGAAGAAGAAACAGCUCAUGAGGCUACGGAAACAGGCCAAGAAGAACGUGGAGAAGAAGAUUGACAAAUACACACAGGUCCUCAAGACCCACGGACUCCUGGUCUGAACCCAAUAAAGACUUAACUCCUCAUGUGUGGCCUGCCCUUCCUCCAUCGUCACCCUGGAAUGUGCGGGACCCAGGGGCAGCAGUAGUCCAGGUGCCACAGGCGGCCGGGGACAUAGGAAGCUGGGAGCAAGGAAAGGGUCUUAGUCACUGCCUCCCGAGGUUGCUUGAAAGCAGAGAAUUGUGCAGCUGCCAUUUAUCUAUGACCAAUAGGAAGAGCAACCAGUUACUGUUAGCAAAAGGGAGUCAGAAGACGGGCUGGAGGGCCCUACCUUGUGAGUGGGGCAUCUGUUGGACUUUCCACCUGGUCAUAUACUCUGCAGCUGUUAGAAUGUGCAAGCACUUGGGAACAGUAUGAGCUUGCUGUUGUGCACAGGGUAUUUCUAGAAGCAGAAAUAGACUGGGAAGAUGCGCAACCAAGGGGUUACAGGCAUCGCCGGUGCUCCUCACCUGUAUUUUGUAAUGAGAAAUAAAUUGCUUUCAAA